This 300-nucleotide signal recognition particle RNA is filed under the name Tupaia belangeri chinensis (Chinese tree shrew). Its description in RNAcentral is "Tupaia chinensis (Chinese tree shrew) Metazoan signal recognition particle RNA". It matches the Rfam family "Metazoan signal recognition particle RNA". From Rfam's summary of the family: The signal recognition particle (SRP) is a universally conserved ribonucleoprotein. It is involved in the co-translational targeting of proteins to membranes. Lineage: Eukaryota; Metazoa; Chordata; Mammalia; Scandentia; Tupaiidae. The record is from Rfam by way of RNAcentral.
GCUGGGCACAGUGGCAUACGUCUCUAAUCCCAGCUACCCGUGAAGCUGAGACAGGAGGAUGACUUGAGCCCAGGAACUCUGGGUUGUAGUGUGCUAUGCCAGUUGAGUGUCCGCACUAAGUCUGGCAUCAAUAUGGUGACCUCCCGGGUGUGGGGAACUACCAGGAUGCCUAAGGAGAGGUGCACCAGCCCAGGUCAGAAAGGGAGCAGGUCAAAACUCCCAUGCUGAUCAAUAGUGGAAUCGUACCUGUGAAUAGCCACUGCACUCCAGCCUGGGUAAUAUAGCAAGACCCUAUCUCUG